UACGGAGGGGGCAAGCGUUAUUCGGAAUUAUUGGGCGUAAAGGGCGCGUAGGCGGCUAGAUGUGUCAAAGGUGAAAUCCCUCGGCUCAACUGAGGAACUGCCUUUGAAACUGUCUGGCUUGAGGCCGGGAGAGGGUAGCGGAAUUCCCAGUGUAGCGGUGAAAUGCGUAGAUAUUGGGAGGAACACCAGUGGCGAAGGCGGCUACCUGGACCGGUUCUGACGCUGAGGCGCGAAGGCCAGGGGAGCAAACGGG
Molecule: ribosomal RNA, 253 nt
Filed under: uncultured bacterium
Lineage: Bacteria
Description: partial 16S ribosomal RNA
Rfam family: Bacterial small subunit ribosomal RNA
Source: RNAcentral